AGUAAUACAUAAGUAACCUGCCCUAGACAGGGGGAUAACUAUUGGAAACGAUAGCUAAGACCGCAUAGGUACGGACACUGCAUGGUGACCGUAUUAAAAGUGCCUCAAAGCACUGGUAGAGGAUGGACUUAUGGCGCAUUAGCUGGUUGGCGGGGUAACGGCCCACCAAGGCGACGAUGCGUAGCCGACCUGAGAGGGUGACCGGCCACACUGGGACUGAGGCACGGCCCAG
This 232-nucleotide ribosomal RNA is filed under the name uncultured bacterium. Its description in RNAcentral is "partial 16S ribosomal RNA". It matches the Rfam family "Bacterial small subunit ribosomal RNA", at positions 109 to 334 of the family's 1533-position model. The record is from RNAcentral.